UUAGUAUUUUAUUAUAUUUAUUUUAGGAACAUUUUAUUAUUGAUAUUUCUAUAUGUAUGUAUUCCUUCUGGUAAAUGACCGGGACGUCAUUUUACAUCCAGGGGGAGUUUGUGGCAGAGUCAUAUUUGAUUGAUAUAUAUUAAGUAUGAUAUUUUUUAUUAUUAAUUUUAUUGCAAUGUUUGAUAGUUUAGUUACUCAUUGUUUCUAUUUCUAGUACUAUUGUUCUAGUAUUAUUCUCUUUAUCCUUUGGCGAACCUCUUUUCUGUCAUAUCAUUUCGGAGGGAAAAUUCUAACCUUUUGAUUGGUCAAUCUUUAGGCCUUAGGCCUUACUAUAGGUUUUCUUUGUUUCUGGAGAUUAAUACUGCAGACAUAUUGAAAUGCAGUGGUGAAAAAUAACCUGUUUGAUAAAUUGAUUUCUUAUAUAUAUUAUACUCCAUAUUCUUGGAUUUUCAAUAUCCUUAUAUUCAGGAUAUGGAUUAAUACCUUCUCAUAUGACAUGUAUGAGUAGUGCUCAGAUUUAUACACACAUCACUGUGAUGUUUCCAAUUACUACACUGACCUAUGUACCAUAUACAUGGGUCUAAAUAUAGUGUAUUAAAAGAAAAGAACCCUA
Molecule: long non-coding RNA, 613 nt
Organism: Mytilus californianus (California mussel)
Lineage: Eukaryota; Metazoa; Mollusca; Bivalvia; Mytilida; Mytilidae
Exons: 2
Source: RefSeq, a predicted model, not a curated record